AUGAAAUUGAUCUCCCGUGCAGAAGCGGGGAUGUCCACAUAAGACGAGAAGACCCUAUGGAGCUUUAGACGUAAUGACAGAUCAUGUUAAUAACCCUUCCGCCAAAGGAAAAACCGAUUGAAGCCUGCCAUAAUGUCUUUGGUUGGGGCGACCGCGGGGAACCAAAAAACCCCCGAGUGGAGCAAGAGUACUAUGCUCUUAAAACCAAGAGCUACAGCUCUAAGCAGCNNNAUUUCUUACCUCUCAGAUUCCGGCACUNCCGAUUAACGGACAGAGUUACCCUAGGGAUAACAGCGCAANCCCCUUCUAGAGCCCAUAUCGACAAGGGGGUUUACGACCUCUAUGUUGGAUCAGCACAUCCUAAUGGUGCAGCCGCUAUUCCGGGUUCGUUG
Molecule: ribosomal RNA, 392 nt
Filed under: Cualac tessellatus (checkered pupfish)
Lineage: Eukaryota; Metazoa; Chordata; Actinopteri; Cyprinodontiformes; Cyprinodontidae
Description: partial 16S ribosomal RNA
Rfam family: Bacterial large subunit ribosomal RNA
Source: RNAcentral